RNAcentral lists this ribosomal RNA (253 nucleotides) under uncultured bacterium. Its description in RNAcentral is "partial 16S ribosomal RNA". It matches the Rfam family "Bacterial small subunit ribosomal RNA", at positions 524 to 776 of the family's 1533-position model. The record is from RNAcentral.
UACGGAGGGUGCAAGCGUUAUCCGGAUUCACUGGGUUUAAAGGGUGCGUAGGCGGGCAUUUAAGUCAGUGGUGAAAUACCUGAGCUUAACUCGGAAACUGCCUUUGAUACUAUCAGUCUUGAAUUCAGUUGAGGUGGGCGGAAUGUGUCGUGUAGCGGUGAAAUGCUUAGAUAUGACACAGAACACCAAUUGCGAAGGCAGCUCGCUAAACUGACAUUGACGCUGAGGCACGAAAGCGUGGGGAGCAAACAGG